GGCAAUCUGGGAUAUCCAAUUAAGAUUUGUGGGCGCCAUCAGUAAGGAUAAAAUGAACCAUAAUCCUUGGGUCAAGUAUCCAAGAUAAUAACCAACCUUAGAGAAGGUAGCAUUAAAUGCGUCUCUUGGCAACCUCACCACAAAUCUUUAAGAAAGAGUUGUCACAUAUCACAAUUAUCCCGACUUAGCCAACUUAAUAUUAAAUGGCCAAAUGCUUAUAAUAAAAAGUAUAGUUAUCGUGUGAUAAACUGCAGAUUUCUGUAGAUAAUAAGACACAGAUUUUCAUUACUCAUAUAUACUCUUGCCAUCGAUCCGACUACAAAAGAAGGAUGGGGGAGCAGAGAGAGGGAAUAAAAACUACAUCUCACUAGUCCUAAACCACGAUCCAAUGAAAUCCGACCUCCACGCGGCAAUUGAUCAUCACCUCAAGAUCUCACCCGUCAUCAAUCAUCAUAAAUAUAAUUUGGCAAGGAAAGCAAGAAUUGUACAUCAGUUCAAAUCUUGCAGCAUUACAAUUAUAAAAUACUAACUUAGAGAUAUUAAAUAUUGCCUAUGGGACGAUAGAGAAUACAUACCUUAGCCAUUGUCUUGCUCCCUGUACCACUAUGUUGGAUGUCAGAAUAGAAUAUGAGCACAGACAUUUUACAACCACCAGGAAGUAAUUGUUUCUCCCGAAGAGGACCAAUUUUGAGAGUGGCAACAUCCACAAAUGUCUCCAACGUGGGAUGAAGAGUAUGAGAAUCAAGUCAAAAGUUUAAAUAAUGGUGAAGGAAAAGUAGUUCACAUGGUUGGAGAUAGCUAUGGAAAGUAUUGUCCUCAAGAUUUGUUCACAAGUACUCAAGCAUACAAGCUGACCAAACCAAACCAAAGAGAAUUCAGUCAAAUUUUGAAAAAAUGUUGUGUGCAAACAAGUAUGGUGAGUAGAAUUACAAAGCAUUGUACAAUUGUUAAAGCUGAGCUAGCAUGAGAGCACCACCGCAAACUUUUCUGCCAUGAGAAGGCAGAGAUGUUAACAUAAUCUCUAUCAUUUCAUGCCCCUAUACUAAAAGAUUCAGCUUUAUAUCUAAAUAUUUCCCUAAAUUCAAACAUAAAAUUUGCUUAGUUGCCAACAUGAGUGAAAUUAUGAAAAAUACAUUUACAGAAAUCCAAACUACAACGUUGGAGAAUAGGCACUUUAUAGACUUUUAAGUGAAAGUUCAUUACACAUAAAAAUGCCCUCACCAUGAUCGUCCCAAGAAGCAACUAUUGUUAAGCUGGCAAGUUGGAAGAAUCUGAGAAGGAUGUGGUAUCAACACAUAUCCAUCAAGGCAGU
Molecule: long non-coding RNA, 1312 nt
Filed under: Manihot esculenta (cassava)
Lineage: Eukaryota; Viridiplantae; Streptophyta; Magnoliopsida; Malpighiales; Euphorbiaceae
Description: long non-coding RNA (MESC_LNC007541)
Source: RNAcentral